Molecule: long non-coding RNA, 289 nt
Filed under: Phoenix dactylifera (date palm)
Lineage: Eukaryota; Viridiplantae; Streptophyta; Magnoliopsida; Arecales; Arecaceae
Description: long non-coding RNA (PDAC_LNC011859)
Source: RNAcentral
GGAUAGUGCUUGGGUGCAUGCAUGGCAACUGGGCAUUGGGCUCAAACCCAAUGUUAUUGAGUCUCUAGGAUUACUUGCACUUAGCUUAAGGAAGGAAUUAUUUAUUUCUUAACAUAUAUUAAAUUUAUUUCAAUGAUUAUUCAAUUUCAUGGUAAAAUAAGUAUUUAUCCGUUUAAGAACAUUGGUAAGUGCUGAAAAAAUAUUAAAUUAUAGACUAAUCAGCACUUAUCACACCUUCAAACUUAUGUUUUGCUAGUCCUCGAGCAAAAUAAAACUAGAAAAGAAGAAU